AGUCGAGCGGGGAAAGGUAGCUUGCUACCUAACCUAGCGGCGGACGGGUGAGUAAUGCUUAGGAAUCUGCCUAUUAGUGGGGGACAACAUUCCGAAAGGAAUGCUAAUACCGCAUACGCCCUACGGGGGAAAGCAGGGGAUCUUCGGACCUUGCGCUAAUAGAUGAGCCUAAGUCAGAUUAGCUAGUUGGUGGGGUAAAGGCCUACCAAGGCGACGAUCUGUAGCGGGUCUGAGAGGAUGAUCCGCCACACUGGGACUGAGACACGGCCCAGACUCCUACGGGAGGCAGCAGUGGGGAAUAUUGGACAAUGGGCGUAAGCCUGAUCCAGCCAUGCCGCGUGUGUGAAGAAGGCCUUUUGGUUGUAAAGCACUUUAAGCGAGGAGGAGGCUACUUAGAUUAAUACUCUAGGAUAGUGGACGUUACUCGCAGAAUAAGCACCGGCUAACUCUGUGCCAGCAGCCGCGGUAAUACAGAGGGUGCGAGCGUUAAUCGGAUUUACUGGGCGUAAAGCGUGCGUAGGCGGCUUUUUAAGUCGGAUGUGAAAUCCCUGAGCUUAACUUAGGAAUUGCAUUCGAUACUGGGAAGCUAGAGUAUGGGAGAGGAUGGUAGAAUUCCAGGUGUAGCGGUGAAAUGCGUAGAGAUCUGGAGGAAUACCGAUGGCGAAGGCAGCCAUCUGGCCUAAUACUGACGCUGAGGUACGAAAGCAUGGGGAGCAAACAGGAUUAGAUACCCUGGUAGUCCAUGCCGUAAACGAUGUCUACUAGCCGUUGGGGCCUUUGAGGCUUUAGUGGCGCAGCUAACGCGAUAAGUAGACCGCCUGGGGAGUACGGUCGCAAGACUAAAACUCAUAUGAAUUGACGGGGGCCCGCACAAGCGGUGGAGCAUGUGGUUUAAUUCGAUGCAACGCGAAGAACCUUACCUGGUCUUGACAUAGUAAGAACUUUCCAGAGAUGGAUUGGUGCCUUCGGGAACUUACAUACAGGUGCUGCAUGGCUGUC
Molecule: ribosomal RNA, 999 nt
Filed under: Acinetobacter johnsonii
Lineage: Bacteria; Pseudomonadati; Pseudomonadota; Gammaproteobacteria; Moraxellales; Moraxellaceae
Description: bacterial SSU rRNA
Rfam family: Bacterial small subunit ribosomal RNA
Source: RNAcentral